Triticum dicoccoides is the source of this 615-nucleotide long non-coding RNA. RefSeq lists it as uncharacterized. The record is from RefSeq and is a predicted model, not a curated record. The transcript is spliced from 2 exons. NCBI's taxonomy places the organism in Eukaryota, Viridiplantae, Streptophyta, Magnoliopsida, Poales, Poaceae.
GAACCACCAAGCAGAGGAGUGGGGUCGAACAAAAAACAACCAGAGGGCCGACUGCUUUUGCUUCUUCUCCUCGCGGCUCAGCAACCCAGGCUGCUCACCCACGACUAGAUAAAAGCAGGGAAGAAAGGGGAUCGAGGCGGACAAGAGGAAGAACGAGAUCGAGGGUUUCGGGAGGUUGGCAGCGCGGCUGAUCCACUUGUUCUCUGCUCCGGGUGGUCUGCCGACCUCCCGCGAAGGCUGCCAUGAUUCCUCCCCAAGUCCGCGCCCUCCGCUACUGAUCUUCACCAAGUCAUCUUCACCAGCUCAACCCCAAGGAUCCUCCUCUGCUACUCUUCUUCAACGUCCACGUGGAAGUUGCUCCUGCUACAGAUCGUCUCCAAUGUGCCCCUGUUGUUCUUCUUCGCCUACAACAUCUACAGCUUCGAAUUGAAGAUCAUCAAGACCAUAGGCUCUGAACCUUUCUCUUCUCUUGUUUCUGUUCUCUGAAUAUAUGAACUGUUGGGUCUGAAAUUUACUUUGUUACUUGUGUACCUUUGCUGAACCCCCAUCUAUCCUUGCUGAAUUGUUGUUACUCUUUGCUGGAUAUUGAGUUAGUAGUUAUUUUCUUGUGAGCUA